GGCCCGGGACUUCUCUCCGUCAGUCCCGAAUCGCCCACCUCCCCCGGGGUGAGGGGCUGCCUACCCUCUCUCGCGCGCUCCCUCGGCUUUGCCCCCAGUGCCUACCCUCGGCCAGGACCUCGACGCCGUCUCUCUACCGUGCAAAAGCGGGACCUGAGCUGGCGGCAGCCACUGCGCCUGCCCUCAUCAUUCAAACUCAAGGAAUCCAAACGUCUGUUUCUGCUGCACCUGGAUCUAGGGGCUCAAGUCAGUCCACCCUCUAGUGGUCAAGAAGAGAAGUGGCAGCCUCUGCACAUCAGCCAGGUCAGACCUUGAGGAGGUCAGCACAGGGAAAUGCCAAUGUCCUCCCCAACCCAAGUGCCUCAGAUGAUCCUAACUAGUUAUGCAGUAACCUGUGGUGGUCCCAUUUCUUGUGCUCAUGAUUGGUUUAAGGAUCGGGAUGUGACCAGUAUUGGACAAUGAGAGAUGAGAGGAAGUCGGCUGGAAGGCUUCUAGAAAAAGCAUUCCUCACUAUCAAAAAGAGAUGCGCAAAGCGGCAGCUUCUCUUCUGCUGCUGGAUGUUACCGAAUCUGCAUAUGAUAGUAGGAUGACGGCAGCCACCUUGUAGCAAAGAGCAGAGUUUCCUCCAAGAGAACAUUCUACGGGGAGAAGAGGAAACAGCACCAAUGACAUCACUUUGCCUGAGUUCACAAACCCUACAGGUGCUCCCACCCCCUACAUUUUUCCUUGUGUGAGAUAAUAAAUUCCUUAUUAUUUAAGCCA
Homo sapiens (human) is the source of this 762-nucleotide long non-coding RNA. RefSeq lists it as uncharacterized. NCBI's taxonomy places the organism in Eukaryota, Metazoa, Chordata, Mammalia, Primates, Hominidae. The record is from RefSeq and is a predicted model, not a curated record. The transcript has 3 exons.